RNA transcript from Haliaeetus leucocephalus (bald eagle), 2615 nucleotides. It is a transcript of the gene named mitogen-activated protein kinase-activated protein kinase 3, with no coding region annotated. The record is from RefSeq and is a predicted model, not a curated record. The transcript has 13 exons. Lineage: Eukaryota; Metazoa; Chordata; Aves; Accipitriformes; Accipitridae.
UCAGUGGGAGGUAGUAGCAUGCUGGUUAUUCUUGGAUAUUCUGUCCACUGGUGAGUUAAGCUCCUGCUUACUUACAAAUUAAUUUCCUUUGCAAAUGUUCUGAAUGAUGAUGCAGAUGCUGAAACAGUAAUUCCUCUUUUGAUGGGCUAGGAAGGGAGUGUGGAGUCUGUACAGCUUUGAGCCUCCCUGCUGAAGAAAAGGACUAAAUGGCGAGCAAAUGGACUGUUUGAAGCAGUGGGUUUGAUCACCCAAGAGGAGGGACUCUGAGGAUACCCCACAGGGAAUCUGUUGGGUAUUUCUGUCAUCUCAGACUCUUCCCUGAUAUGGAACAAAGUGAAGGUGAACAGGAAUCCCAGCCAGAGAGUCACGUGGAAAGCAAGAGCAGUGUGAAAUCCUUGCCUGGGGGAGCGGCCCAUGUCAAACUGGAGAUAAAAAAACAUGCAGUUACCGAUGACUACAAACUCUCCAAACGGGUGCUAGGGUUAGGAAUCAAUGGCAAAGUACUGGAGUGUUUCAACAAGGAGACAGGCCAAAAAUGUGCUUUGAAGCUCCUGUAUGACAACCCAAAAGCCCGUCAGGAAGUAGAGUAUCAUUGGCGAGCAUCAGGGUGUCCCCACAUUGUCCAUGUCCUGGAUGUUUAUGAGAAUAUACACCAUGGAAAGAGAUGCCUCCUCAUUGUCAUGGAAUGCAUGGAGGGAGGAGAGCUGUUUAGCAGGAUCCAGGAGAGAGGAGAUCAAGCUUUCACUGAAAGAGAGGCCUCUGAAAUAAUGAGAGACAUCGGAACAGCCAUCCAGUAUCUGCAUUCAAUGAACAUUGCCCAUAGAGAUGUCAAGCCUGAAAACUUGCUUUACACAUCUAAAGAGAAGGAUACUGUACUCAAACUCACAGACUUCGGCUUUGCCAAAGAAACCAGUGUACAAAAUGCGCUGCAGACCCCCUGUUACACUCCUUAUUAUGUGGCCCCAGAAGUCCUUGGCCCUGAGAAGUAUGACAAAUCAUGUGACAUGUGGUCGUUGGGUGUCAUCACAUAUAUUCUCCUGUGUGGGUUCCCUCCAUUCUACUCAAACACUGGUCAAGCCAUUUCUCCAGGGAUGAAGAGAAGAAUUCGGAUGGGGCAAUACGGGUUUCCCAAUCCAGAGUGGGCUGAAGUAUCAGAGGAAGCCAAACAACUGAUUCGCCAUUUACUGAAGACUGACCCAACAGAGAGGAUGACAGUUUCUCAAUUUAUGAAUCACCCUUGGAUUAAUAGAUCAAUGGCAGUGCCACCAACUCCUCUUCAUACUGCACGGGUCCUGCAAGAGGAUAAAGACCACUGGGAUGAAGUUAAAGAGGAGAUGACCAGUGCUUUGGCAACCAUGAGGGUGGACUAUGAUCAGGUGAAAAUCAAAGACUUGAAAACAUCCAACAACCGCCUCCUGAAUAAACGCCGUAAGAAGCAGAAGCAGGCAGCCACCUCUUCUGCAGCCCCAGGGUGCAAUAACCAAUGAGAAGAGAAGCCAAGGACCUGUGGGUGGAGGGUAAAAGUUAAAAGGAACAAUUUAAAAUCAGUAUGAAUAACUCGGUCCAUACCACAAAGGCAAUGAGACUGUGAAGAAGCUAUCCUGCAAAGAGGGAGCAGUGUGAAAGAUUAUUACAUUUUUAUAACUUGAAUCAGGGCUUUGCUUUUAAAGACUAAUGUAUAUGAUAUGAUUCUGUUACAUAUUGCUAGGGAAGGUACAGUAAUACUAGAAAUGUUACGGGUUUUUGUUUUGGCUUUAACUGUAGCAGACAAGAGGAGAGAACAGGAGGCAGUCUCAGCAUACUAAUGCACUGAGGCUUUAACAGCCAUCUACAAGAGUGACUUCUGCUACGGUUUUAAACUUGGGAAUAGAAAAAAAUGCCAAGUGUUCUGCUAGGAGUGUUUUAGUAGUUCAAACAUGAGUACUGAGAAAGGAGAAAAAUGUCACUGUUCUUUAUAUGAGUAGCACAGGUGCAGUUCUAUUAUGGAUGCAUCUGGACGGCAUUUCAUGUUAGAAUUGGUAAUAGUCAAUAUUUCCAAACUUACCUCCUAUAGUUACAGAAUAUCACCUAAAUAGUAGAGUUAUUCCUGUUACAGGAAAAAGCAUCCACACAUUUCCAUUUUCAUAGUCUUCAUGUAGUAUUCUGUGAAGAUUUGAGUUUGUCAUGGAUUCUCAUUUGGUAACAUGUAAGUUUUCUAAACUGUAACCAUUAUGUCGUGUCUUGCCACUGUCAGAUCCCUCUCUUGUAAUGUUUUUAAUUGAAACAGUACUUUAUGUGAAGGAUUUUAAUAAGGAUUUAAUUAGUUGAAAGUAUCCUGCAGAGAAUAUUGCUGUUCCUCUUGGAUCCACAGCCUCUAGGGCGUGCAACUGGACAUGCAAUUGUUUACAAGAGACUGCUCUAGAAGAGAGACUUCUGAAAUUCAGGACGAAGUGGCAAAUGCAUGUUCUCUGAAUGGACCCUGGUGCCUGCCGGCAUCCCUUCUGCGACAACAUCCCGGAAUACCGUAAAGCCCAGUGGGAACCUGAGGAGGGCCUCAAAAUGGCAGACAUGGAAGUGUAUGCAAAGAGCCUAAACAGAAUGAACACAAGGAAGCAAACUUCGAAGACAGAGAACAC